RNAcentral lists this ribosomal RNA (351 nucleotides) under Salmonella enterica subsp. enterica serovar Typhimurium. Its description in RNAcentral is "partial 23S ribosomal RNA". It matches the Rfam family "Bacterial large subunit ribosomal RNA", at positions 1427 to 1772 of the family's 2925-position model. The record is from RNAcentral. Lineage: Bacteria; Pseudomonadati; Pseudomonadota; Gammaproteobacteria; Enterobacterales; Enterobacteriaceae.
GGGUUAAUAUUCCCGUACUUGGUGUUACUGCGAAGGGGGGACGGAGAAGGCUAUGUUGGCCGGGCGACGGUUGUCCCGGUUUAAGCGUGUAGGUGUGUGUUCCAGGUAAAUCCGGUUCACUUUAACACUGAGGCGUGACGACGAGGCACUACGGUGCUGAAGCAACAAAUGCCCUGCUUCCAGGAAAAGCCUCUAAGCAUCAGGUAACAUCAAAUCGUACCCCAAACCGACACAGGUGGUCAGGUAGAGAAUACCAAGGCGCUUGAGAGAACUCGGGUGAAGGAACUAGGCAAAAUGGUGCCGUAACUUCGGGAGAAGGCACGCUGACACGUAGGUGAAGUGAUUUACUCA